GAAAUGCAAUAAUUAAUGUGAAUUGCAGAAUUCAGUGAAUCAUCGAGUCUUUGAACGCACAUUGCGCCCCCUGGUAUUCCGGGGGGCAUGACUGUCCGAGCGUCAUUGCUGCCCUCAAGCGCGGCUUGUGUGUUGGGCUUCCGUCCCUGGCAACGGGGACGGGCCCAAAAGGCAGUGGCGGCACCAUGUCUGGUCCUCGAGCGUAUGGGGCUUUGUCACCCGCUCCCGUAGGUCCAGCUGGCAGCUAGCCUCGCAACCAAUCUUUUUAACCAGGUUGACCUCGGAUCAGGUAGGGAUACCCGCUGAACUUAAGC
RNAcentral lists this unclassified non-coding RNA (314 nucleotides) under plant metagenome. RNAcentral describes it as "partial contains 5.8S ribosomal RNA, internal transcribed spacer 2, and large subunit ribosomal RNA". The stretch from base 1 to 105 matches the Rfam family "5.8S ribosomal RNA", at positions 50 to 154 of the family's 154-position model. The record is from RNAcentral.